AUUGAACGCUGGCGGCAGGCCUAACACAUGCAAGUCGAGCGGAUGAAGGGAGCUUGCUCCCUGAUUUAGCGGCGGACGGGUGAGUAAUGCCUAGGAAUCUGCCUGGUAGUGGGGGAUAACGUUCCGAAAGGAACGCUAAUACCGCAUACGUCCCACGGGAGAAAGCAGGGGACCUUCGGGCCUUGCGCUAUCAGAUGAGCCUAGGUCGGAUUAGCUAGUUGGUGAGGUAAUGGCUCACCAAGGCGACGAUCCGUAACUGGUCUGAGAGGAUGAUCAGUCACACUGGAACUGAGACACGGUCCAGACUCCUACGGGAGGCAGCAGUGGGGAAUAUUGGACAAUGGGCGAAAGCCUGAUCCAGCCAUGCCGCGUGUGUGAAGAAGGUCUUCGGAUUGUAAAGCACUUUAAGUUGGGAGGAAGGGCAUUAACCUAAUACGUUAGUGUUUUGACGUUACCGACAGAAUAAGCACCGGCUAACUUCGUGCCAGCAGCCGCGGUAAUACGAAGGGUGCAAGCGUUAAUCGGAAUUACUGGGCGUAAAGCGCGCGUAGGUGGUUCGUUAAGUUGGAUGUGAAAGCCCCGGGCUCAACCUGGGAACUGCAUCCAAAACUGGCGAGCUAGAGUACGGUAGAGGGUGGUGGAAUUUCCUGUGUAGCGGUGAAAUGCGUAGAUAUAGGAAGGAACACCAGUGGCGAAAGGCGACCACCUGGACUGAUACUGACACUGAGGUGCGAAAGCGUGGGGAGCAAACAGGAUUAGAUACCCUGUAGUCCACGCCGUAAACGAUGUCAACUAGCCGUUGGGUUCCUUGAGAACUUAGUGGCGCAGCUAACGCAUUAAGUUGACCGCCUGGGG
Molecule: ribosomal RNA, 855 nt
Filed under: uncultured bacterium
Lineage: Bacteria
Description: bacterial SSU rRNA
Rfam family: Bacterial small subunit ribosomal RNA
Source: RNAcentral